UCCGGGAACACAGAAAUGGUACUUUUAAUCCCAAAUUCUAUGUCAUUUAUAAAUAGAUUAAACAGUAAGGGGCCCAACACUGAACCUUGGGGGACACCACUAACAACC
Nanorana parkeri is the source of this 108-nucleotide long non-coding RNA. RefSeq lists it as uncharacterized. NCBI's taxonomy places the organism in Eukaryota, Metazoa, Chordata, Amphibia, Anura, Dicroglossidae. The record is from RefSeq and is a predicted model, not a curated record. The transcript is spliced from 3 exons.